UACGUAGGGUGCAAGCGUUGUCCGGAAUUAUUGGGCGUAAAGAGCUCGUAGGCGGUCUGUCGCGUCGGCUGUGAAAACCCGGAGCUCAACUCCGGGCCUGCAGUCGAUACGGGCAGACGUGGAGUUCGGCAGGGGAGACUGGAAUUCCUGGUGUAGCGGGUGAAAUGCGCAGAUAUCAGGAGGAACACCGGUGGCGAAGGCGGGUCUCUGGGCCGAUACUGACGCUGAGGAGCGAAAGCGUGGGGAGCGAACAGG
This 255-nucleotide ribosomal RNA is filed under the name uncultured bacterium. RNAcentral describes it as "partial 16S ribosomal RNA". It matches the Rfam family "Bacterial small subunit ribosomal RNA", at positions 524 to 776 of the family's 1533-position model. The record is from RNAcentral.